RNAcentral lists this ribosomal RNA (245 nucleotides) under uncultured Eubacteriales bacterium. RNAcentral describes it as "uncultured Clostridiales bacterium partial 16S ribosomal RNA". It matches the Rfam family "Bacterial small subunit ribosomal RNA", at positions 524 to 768 of the family's 1533-position model. The record is from RNAcentral. Lineage: Bacteria; Bacillati; Bacillota; Clostridia; Eubacteriales.
UACGUAGGGGGCGAGCGUUGUCCGGAAUUACUGGGCGUAAAGGGUGCGUAGGCGGAAUGUCAAGUCAGAUGUGAAAUACCCGGGCUUAACCCGGGGGCUGCAUUUGAAACUGACAUCCUUGAGUGCAGGAGAGGCAAGUGGAAUUCCUAGUGUAGCGGUGAAAUGCGUAGAUAUUAGGAGGAACACCGGUGGCGAAGGCGACUUGCUGGACUGUAACUGACGCUGAGGCACGAAAGCGUGGGGAG